Molecule: ribosomal RNA, 385 nt
Filed under: uncultured bacterium
Lineage: Bacteria
Description: bacterial SSU rRNA
Rfam family: Bacterial small subunit ribosomal RNA
Source: RNAcentral
UGAGGAAUAUUGGUCAAUGGGCGAGAGCCUGAACCAGCCAUCCCGCGUGCAGGAUGACGGCCCUAUGGGUUGUAAACUGCUUUUCUGCUCCAAGAAACCCACCUACGUGUAGGUGGUUGACGGUAGAGUAGGAAUAAGCAUCGGCUAACUCCGUGCCAGCAGCCGCGGUAAUACGGAGGAUGCAAGCGUUAUCCGGAUUCAUUGGGUUUAAAGGGUGCGCAGGUGGGAAUGUAAGUCAGUGGUGAAAUACUGCCGCUUAACGGUAGAGCUGCCAUUGAUACUGCGUUUCUUGAGUAUGGUUGAGGUAGGUGGAAUGUGUUGUGUAGCGGUGAAAUGCAUAGAUAUGACACAGAACGCCGAUUGCGAAGGCAACUUACUAAGCCAU